GAUGAACGCUGGCGGCGUGCUUAACACAUGCAAGUCGAGCGAACGGACGCGAAGUUUGCUUCUCUGAUGUUAGCGGCGGACGGGUGAGUAACACGUGGAUAACCUACCUAUAAGACUGGGCUAACUUCGAGAAACCGGAGCUAAUACCGGAUAAUAUUUUGAACCGCAUGGUUCAAGAGUGAAAGACUGUCUUGCUGUCACUUAUAGAUGGAUCCGCGCUGCAUUAGCUAGGUGGUAAGGUAACGGCUUACCAAGGCAACGAUGCAUAGCCGACCUGAGAGGGUGAUCGGCCACACUAGAGCUGGGACGCGGUCCAGACUCCUGCGGGAGGCAGCAGUAGGGAAUGUUACGCAGUGGGCGAGAGCCUGACGGAGCGACGCCGCGUGAGUGAUGACGAUCUUCGGAUCGUGAUACUCUGUUAUUAGGGAAGAACAUAUGUGUAUGUAGCUGUACACAUCUUGACGGUACCUGAUCAGAAAGCCACGGCUAACUACGUG
This 497-nucleotide ribosomal RNA is filed under the name uncultured bacterium. RNAcentral describes it as "partial 16S ribosomal RNA". It matches the Rfam family "Bacterial small subunit ribosomal RNA", at positions 28 to 507 of the family's 1533-position model. The record is from RNAcentral.